UAUGCCUUUGUCGACAGUAUGUCGUAUGAUAGCGGGCCGGUAACACGUUUUUAAGCAAAAGAAAGUAUUGCAUGUAAAAAUUUCUAUAACCUGGUUGUACCACAACGGUUGAAUGUCUCACAUUAUGCUAGCCUAAAACGUUACUUAAGAUAUAUUUAAUUCAACCAGGACAUCACCAAAUUGCACUUAUUUAAAAAGGAAUUUAUAAAUUUAAUUAAAGGAAUAUGUCCUCAGUAUCGCAAAACUUAAUACCUGUGGAAAAAAAGGAGCAGAUUUCUUUAUCCCAAAAGUUAACAAUUCAUGAACAGCAUCAUCAACUGUAUGCUUUGAAAUGGAGUGAAUUUCAGUCAUCUAUAGUUAACUGUUUUCAACGAUUGCGAGAUGAAGAAGACUUUGUGGAUGUAACUAUAUCUUGUGACCAGCGAUCAUUUGCUGCUCAUAGAGUUGUUCUCAGUGCCUGCAGUCCUUACUUUCGUAAAUUGUUGAAAUCAAAUCCCUGCAAACACCCCAUUAUAAUAUUACGAGAUGUGUACUCAGAACACAUGGAAUGUCUUCUAAGUUUCAUGUACAAUGGAGAAGUAAAUAUAAGACAAGAUCAAUUACAAGAUUUCUUAAAAGCUGCACAUAUGCUUCAGAUACGUGGCUUGACAGAUGUUUCUGAUAACUACUGCCCUCCAGAAUUUAAUUUAUCGGAAAAAAAAACACUGGAUAAUUCCAUCAUCAGUAGUAAAGCAUACAAAAAGGAUUCUGAUAAAGAUGACUGUAAUGCAGAAUAUAUAGAAAAGUCUAGUAAUUCUUCAAAAUACAAACUGUUUUCUGAUCGUCCAAUUACAUCCGCAUUGAUGACCAGCUUUAAUAACAACUCUAUUAACCCAUAUCUUAUAAAGGAAACACAAUCGGCAGCAUCUUCUCUCCAAAGGGAAAAUACCGAUCCAUAUCGUAAUCGAAAAACCCUUCUAACACCACCACCCCAAAAACGUAUUAAAAGUGCGGACCUAUUUCGUGCGCAACACGGCAUUAAUUCCGAACGAGCUCUUUCAGAAGCAGAAUUUCCAGCGAUUUUACAGCAUCAAAUAUCUCGGGAACGAAGACAUUUGUUUAAUGAUUGCGACAGAGCUAUAGAAGCCAAUGAAACUACUAUAGGAUCAUCAAUAGAAGAAAAAACAGCUUUCAAUUUUCAGCGCACAGAUAAACAAUCUACACAGGAAGAAAGUGCCGAUGACGACUCUAACUGUAGCAGCGAGUACCCUCUUGAUCGUGUAGGUACACAACAGGAAACGAACGACUCAGUGGAUAAUCUACGACCUGCCAUGCCGAACACGUUUUCAGGAAUUCCAAAAUCUCUGGAACAACAAGGCCAUUUAAAUAAGAAUGAAUUUGAACAUCCCGGUGAAAUAUCCAGCAACUUAAGAGAAAAGGGUUUCUCUACAUUUUUAUGCAACCGCUUUUGGAAUACAAAUUUUGAGGAUAAAAAGGAAAUCGGAUAUAAGAAUAGAUUUGAUAUGAGUAAAAAAUUGCCUAUAGAUAAUUUUGUAGCCAAAUCUGCAGCUUUGUCGCUAAUGGUGAAAACUGCAUGUAUAAAUAAACAACCCACAUAUUUUCAAGAGAUGGUUAGUAAACAUGAUAUGCAAUCAAAUAACACACGAAUUCAACAACAAAAACAACAGGAGUUUGAAAUUCUACAACAGUUUGAAAUACAACAGCCCUUAUAUGACUAUCUAUACGAACUGCAGAAAUCAACGAAUAAUCAACAAAAAACUUGUGAUACUCACUUCAUGGAAAGAACUCCUCAUAUUAGUGAAAAUACAAGUUUACGGGACGUAACGGUGACUGCACAUACAAGUAGCGCUCACAUAUUGCCCUGUCCUCUCUGCGCAAUUCCGCUAGAGCAAAGAUAUUUUCGGCAACAUUUAGAUGGACACUAUCCACGAGAUAGUUCAAUUUGUCCAGUAAUCGAAUGCGGCCGCCGGUUUGCCCAUCCAAAUUCCGUUAGGAAUCAUAUGCGUAUUAAGCACACCCAUCAGUGGGCUAAAAUGAAAGUAAUGCGCUCUUCUGCUGGACAUAUGCCUAGUGAACUGGAUCUAAAUAAGAAAAAAAACUAAUUUAGCCCAUAACUCAGAAAUUGGAUAUUGUGUUAUCUAAAAUAAAUCUGUGUAAAACUUAUGGUUCAAUUAUAAAUAGUUCUGCAAUAAGGAGAUAUUUGAGGAUUACGGGCAUGGGAAUAUCACAGGAACAUACAACAGCAGCUACUUUACAUGCAGCAAAAAUUGUGCAGUUAAAUGCCCUCGGACAUAAA
Molecule: unclassified non-coding RNA, 2296 nt
Filed under: Bactrocera tryoni
Lineage: Eukaryota; Metazoa; Arthropoda; Insecta; Diptera; Tephritidae
Description: protein abrupt-like, transcript variant X3
Source: RNAcentral